Molecule: ribosomal RNA, 301 nt
Filed under: uncultured bacterium
Lineage: Bacteria
Description: partial 16S ribosomal RNA
Rfam family: Bacterial small subunit ribosomal RNA
Source: RNAcentral
CAGUCGCCGCGGGAAUACGGAGGGUGCAAGCGUUAUCCGGAUUUAUUGGGUUUAAAGGGUCCGUAGGCGGAUCUGUAAGUCAGUGGUGAAAUCUCACAGCUUAACUGUGAAACUGCCAUUGAUACUGCAGGUCUUGAGUAAAUUUGAAGUGGCUGGAAUAAGUAGUGUAGCGGUGAAAUGCAUAGAUAUUACUUAGAACACCAAUUGCGAAGGCAGGUCACUAAGAUUUAACUGACGCUGAUGGACGAAAGCGUGGGGAGCGAACAGGAUUAGAUACCCGUGUAGUCCCUGUCUCUUAUAC